AUCAUGGAUACUCUACCAUACCACCCACGGACAGCUUCCCCUGAGGGUCAUGGAGUCUCCACAAGCUGCCAGACCUGUGCAGCCAAGCAUGGCAGCCACACUCACCCAGGCUCUUUAUUUUGCCAUCCCAGAAGGAAGUGUCUGAGGGUCAUAGAGCACUGUAGCACUUAACAGGUUACCAUGGACACCAGUUGCAAAGGGAAAUAGUGCCUUACUCUAAGUGGGUUGAGCUAUGCAGAAGAUAAUGUGCAUGACAAACACCUUUACUUUUCUCUACAUCAGCCUCUUUUCUUAGAUAAAAUGGUUUUGUGAUUUUGGUUUCUUUUUCUUUUUCUUUUUUUCCCCUUUAUUCUUUACUUUGGUGGAGGAGGGUAAGAAAAGCUGUCUGUGCUAUUUUCAAAAGGAGGGUGGUGUGUCUCAGGAGAGAAGGAGGCUCUCGUCAUCCAGCUACGUAACAUUUACCCUCCCCACCUUGGUAAACACUCUGAUGCAACGUGGCAACUUAUGAAAUCUUUGUAUGAAAAAUGAAGACUGCAAAAAAAAAAUCACAACUUUCAAAAGAAAUAAAUCAUUGCAUGUUUAUUAUGCAAGUUUCAAUGAACAAAGAAAGCCUUCGGAAACAAGUUGAUCAACACAGGAGAACUUUCGUGAUAAUUACAUCCAUAGUGACAGAGCUGUGGACUCACUCAUAUAUCUGGAGUCAGUGUCAUCCACCGACAGUUGGAACCAUCGCCAACGUGACAGUAGUCUUGGGUUUUCCUCUUUCUUUUGGCCACCUGUGAUCAUUGGUUAAGGACGCCUUGACAGGCCAUCUUUUGAUAUCCAAGCUGAAGCAAUAUCCAUUCAGAGAUUUCAUUGGUUGCGUCAAAAGACAUGGGUGACCAUGUACAUCGAUUCAUUUUAUGUUUUUCUUUAUUCCUUUUUUUUUCAUUUUGAGUCCUUUUAAUGUAAUUCUAAUCUUUACAAUUAAAAAGGACAGGUUCAGAAUGGAAGCGAGGUCAUUCUGCGUACAUUGGAGAUCUUUUAUUACAAGUCUGCUUGUUAAUUUUAGAAUUGUAAAACGGCUCUAAUUAAACUAUUUAACUAAC
This 1088-nucleotide long non-coding RNA is filed under the name Rattus norvegicus (Norway rat). RNAcentral describes it as "long non-coding RNA NONRATT013069". The record is from RNAcentral. Lineage: Eukaryota; Metazoa; Chordata; Mammalia; Rodentia; Muridae.